UCCCUGAUUUUCAUCGAUACUCUAAGCGAAGGAUCACCAUACACAUGAUGUUCUUCAUGAUGGCGUCGUGGAUUCGGCGUGUUUGACGGCGGUUCGUGGAUUCGGAUCGUGGGCUCGUGGAUUCGAGUGGAGUUCGUGGAUUCGGACGUGUGCGAAGCGUUCGUGGAUUCGGACGUGAGGGCGUGGACAACCCGGAGGAUUGCGCGAGAUCCAUAGGAGGUUAAAAGAGGUUGAGUCCGUGGAGUCGGUAAUCACCUUGUAAUCUUUUCUCUUAGUGAAUUAUUUUUUCGCGUGUUGGUCCCGUGGGUUUUUCUCCAAGUUGGAGUUUUCCCACGUAAAUCUCGGUGUGAUUUUUAUUUUCCGCAUUUAUUUUUAUCGCAUUGAGAUUUGUGGUUUUUGGUUACUUUAACCUAUUCACCCCUCUCUAGGUGAUAGAUACAAUCUAAAUAGAUCCUUGGGCUCCUCAAAACUUUCAAUUGGUAUCAGAGCCGGAUCUAGAUAAAUUGUUUAUCUAAUGGCCGAAGGUGGAAACAUUAAUCGACCACCGCUUUUCGAUGGCACAAACUAUGCCUAUUGGAAAGUUCGCAUGAGAGCUUUUCUAAUUGCAAUCGAUGAGCGCGUUUGGCAAUCUAUUGAAUUUGGAUGGAAACAUCCUAUUGAAAAGGUCGAGAAUGUUGAAACGCCAAAACCACGGACCAAGUGGACGAAAGAUGAAAACGAGUCAUCUUCGUUUAAUGGCAAGGGUAUAAACGUUUUAUUUAAUGCAUUGUCACAAACGGAGUUUACUCGCGUUUCGGCAUGUGAAACCGCCAAGAAAAUUUGGAACACUCUACAAAUUACACAUGAAGGUACUAGUUUAGUAAAAAUUCAAAAGCUCCAAAUGUUGACUAGCCAAUUUGAUUCUAUUCGUAUGGAGGAGCAUGAAUCUUUCACUUAUUACUAUACUAGACUUCAAGAUAUUAUUAACACAUGUGCUAAUUUGGGAGAGAAGAUCCCGGAUGCUAAAGUUGUUCGUAAAAUUCUUCGAACGCUUCCGGAACGUUUUCGAGCUAAAGUAGCCGCGAUCGAAACAGUCAAACAUUCGGACGAGAUGAAAGUCGAGGAAUUAGUAGGUGCAUUACAAACUUAUGAGAUGACUUUUCCUACUAAUCAAUCUUCUUCCAAGUCUUUCUCUAAAAGCACAGGGAUUGCAUUAAAGUCGACAAAGGAGGAAGAAGAGGAUUCAAAUUUCGAUGAAGAUGUUUCUCUUGCUGAUUUUGAACAUCAACUUGCACUAUUAACGAAGAAGUUUCGCCGGAAUUUCCGAAAGAGCAAAUCGAAUAAACCUUCAUCGUCCAAGCAAUCAUCGUCUAAAUCUUCAUCGUCUACAUCUAAGGAGAAGAAGCGUGCAAAGGCUUCAAAAGAAAAGGAUGUAUUUGAAGGCGAGAUCCAAUGCUUCAAAUGCAAAGGCUACGGCCACAUCGCGACGGAUUGCCCUCAAAGAAAGUUUAUAAAUCGAAGGCUAUGCAAGCAAAGACUUGGGAUGAUUCUUCUAGUGAAUCAUCGUCAAGUGAUGAAAAAAAGAAUGAUCAAAUUGCCUUAUUUGCUAAUACUCCUUCAUCGAACGUUGUGUGUUUAUCCUCUAUUGCUACUAACUCUAAUGUUUCUUUUUCUUCGCAUGAAUCAUCAAGUGAUAAUGGCGAAAGCGGGGAGGAUUCGAACGACGAGGAUAUAGCGGAAGCUUACAACCAACUUCUUAUUGAAUCAAAGAAGAUGGCUAAACUAAAUAAGAAGUUGAGGCGUCGUUUGUUGAAUCUCGAAGUGGAAAACAACAACUUGAAGGUCACGAACAAAGGUCUCGAGGAGGAAAGGGAAUCAAUUUUGAAAAAUAAUUCGGACUUCUAAGAAAAGCUUAAUGAAGCGGAAUCAACGAUCAAAUCGUAUAAAGACAAGGUUGGAUUUUUGGAGGAACAAUUUGAGGAAUCGCACAAAUCCAACAAGGCCUUGACUAAUCAAGUUCAUCAACUCCAAUCCGAUAUUCAAAUAUUUUCUUCGGGAUCUAAGAAAUUGGAUCAUAUGCUCGGAUUGGGUCAAACGAACAAACUUGGUCUCGGUUAUGAACGCACAUACGUUGAGAAGGUUUCAACAAAAGGUGUGUCACAUAUGUAGCAUCAAAGGACACAUCAAAAGGAAUUGCCCGAACAAAAAUGGCAAGUCACAAUCGGCAACUUCAAAACAUCAAGCGACAUUAUCUACAACUUGACUUCCCCAACGGAAGCAAAAGAAAAAUUAAGUGAGUCGGGUACCUCAAAAGAAUCGGACUUCUAAACCGCAACGCCAAGUUCUACCUAAGCCACAAGCAAACCGGAUGCCUAAUGCAAAACGACAAAUUCAAACAAAGCCUCAAGCAAAGAAAACACCAACGGUUGAUCUUAAAUCUAAGCAAAUGGCACCAAACGUCGACAAGCCGAGAAAAUUGAAGAUCUGACAAGUUUGGAUCCGGAAAGGUGAUAUCUUUCCUUGCUUCUCGUCUUAGCUGUUUUUGAUUUCUUGUGUAGUGCUUUGAUAGGUGCUUAUUGCAUAUUUUUAUUCAUUGCAUUACAUGUUUAGAUGUUUCUUUUGGUGCUUUGAAUUUUGUUUGUAGACAAAAUCUUUUUGAGGAAAGGCGUUUGGGAAUUUAAAUUUUUUUUUUGAGAGGGGAUGGUUGAGAAUCAUUAUUUUGAGGAGAGAAAUUUUUUUAAAAAAUUGUUUAAACGGUGUUUAACUUCACAUUCAUAUUAAGUUAAAUUCAUAUUAAUUAUCGGUUUUACUCCACUUUUUAUUAUUUUGAUGAUAAUUUAAUAUAUGAUUUCUUAAUAUUCGCUAAUAGACUAAAAUUUGUCAAAAUAUUUUCAAUUGUGAGAUUGUCUAAUUUAGGAGGAGUUUGAAAUUAUCAAAAAAAAAAAAGGGAAAACUCCUAUGUUUAAAAGAUAUGGAAAGAGUUACAUCCAAAAGGAGUGUGAAAACUACCACCACAUGUAGGAAAGAGCUACCACCCCGGUCGUCCGGCAAGUGUGCGAAGCUACCACAUGAAGAUUGAAUUGAUUAACCGAAAAAGGUUGAAAAAAAAAAAAAAUUGAAUAUUUUAGAAUUUUCGGAGUUAUAAGGUGUUAGUUUGAAAAAAAAGAUGCUCAAAGAGCCACCCCCGGUAUCAUAUUAGUUAAAUCUCUAUUUUGAACGGAUUACGACAAAUUGGUGUCAAUUUUGCCGAAUUUCUAAAAAUCAUUUUUCGUAAACCGUUAAAUCUUGAUGAUUUUGAAACUUGAGAUCAUUUUUGAUAAUGAAAUUUUGAUGUUUAAAUGUAUUUUGAAAUCUUAUAAUAAUUUAUUCUCAUUUUUAUGAUUUUGGAGUAAAAUCCUGAAUUUAAAUGAGAUUAAUUUAAUGUGGUGGAUUUUUAAAGCAUAAUUUUUGAAAAAUUUUUUUCACAUUUUGGUCCUUGUACCGGUACAAGAACCCGUGUACCGGUACAAGGUCUGUACCCGAGCGGCUUAUAACCGGGUAUAGCAUUUCAUUUUGCCUCAAAUCAAAACCAAAUUUCACACUUUCUCUCUCUAAAAAUCCCUGGUGCCUUCCUCUUCCAGAUCUACACGAUUUCCUGCAGAAAUUUGUGAGUAUUUAGCUUAGAUUUAAUCGUUUCAUCGCGUUCAUGUUUAUUUUUCAAAAAUAUUCCGAGUUGAAGCUAGAUCUCUGUUUUUAAUCGUUUUUGAUGCAAUUUUUUGCUGUAGAUCAGUGCUUAAGGACAUUAUCUUGCUUCUAGAACACUUAGAUCAAGUUAUAAUGCUAUAUUUUUCGCUGAUCUAUGAUCCUUAUAUCAUAAUACAUGGAAUUUCGGGAUUUUGGUGCAAUAUCAAUUUUUUGAUGAAAUUUUUUGCAUGAAUGAGUUGGCAAUAGCAUUAGUAUGCAUUCUAAGAUUAUUAGAUAUUUUUUCGCUAUUUUUACAGAUUUUUCCAAAAUUUUCUUCAUAAAUGGCUCAUUUUCAUGUAGGAAAUGGCGUUUUUGCUCGUGAUCCUACUUUUGGUGCUUAUGGCCGCCGGUCGUGGUCGUGGUGGUGGUCGAGGACAACGUGGAACCUCAAUAAGAGACCGUGCUGCUACAGGAGAGUCCGGUUUAGAUCCGGAGUAUCAAGCAAGCUCGCAGAAAGAAACAGAAGAAGAGGCGACUCGAGCUGCUAAAGGAAAGGGUGUUGUGGGUGAAUCAUCUCAUGGCGGUGGUUCUCGUACGCGUGAGGGACGUACAAAACGAGCCGCGGAUGUCCCUUCAGUACGACAAAGGUUAUAUAUGUCGAAGUCGUGCAUAGUUGAGCGCUUCGUGAACUUCAAUGACCUGUUUCGAGAUGUUCCUGCUUUUGGGCGACUACUACAGCGCGCACCUAUUGAGCCAGUUGGACGGGUCCCUGCCAAGGCUCCCUUCUGUGUGGAACUCAUUCGGGAGUUCUAUAUGAAUGGAAAGGUACUUGCUGAAGACGAUGAGACAGGCACUUUUCUUUUUGAGACUGUUGUGCGUCAGAAGAGAGUCCCAGUUACUCCCUAUACUAUUGGAGAAAUCUUGGGAAUGCAUGUGGACGCUGCAGGUCUUCUCUAUACAUCAGGAGGAUUCCAAUCGUCAACUCACAUGGAUAUCGUUCUUGGAGCUAUAUGCAAGCCCGGUGUUCACAUGACUCAUGGUUACAUAGAAUCCAAGGAUUUAUUACCUGAGUACCACUUGCUAUCCUUGGUCAUGAGCUAUAAUGUUCAACCAACCAUCGGCACGAAGAGGAUCCGUUGGGAGAGAUUAGUAUUGCUAUAUCUUCUUGGUCAUCCCGAGUAGGCUCAUGGGUUGAACAUCAACAUCCCGUUUCUGAUCUAGCAAAGGAUGAUACACGUGAUUCAGGGCGCCACUCGACGGGAUCUACUUCCAUUCCCUGUUCUGAUUACGAGGAUUCUACAAGCACAUGGAGUAGAUACAUCAUGUGACAAGUAUGAUGUUGGCCUUGGGCCUAUUGAUUCAGUGACUUGGGCUAAGUCUGUUAGCACUCUUAAGUCAUUCCAUCAGACCAAGGGGCCACUUCCUGAAGUAUCUAGCCCAGUACCUCCACCGAGAGCAGCUUCUAGCUCUACUCCUCCGCCUCCAUCCCGAGGGAGUUAUGAUACUUCAUCUAGUUCGGAGGGAGCGACGACGUUGGAAUCAGUUAAGGAGGAUUUGCGAAAAUUAAAGAAGAAGGUCAACAAUAUUGGGAGAAAAGUUGAGUCAAGCAUCAAGAAAUUUGAAUUAAGUAUCAAAAGGAUGAUGGAUAAGAUGGGGUGUCGACAUGAUGAUAUUUGGGAACCCACUCCAUCUUAUGGUACGUAUCAGCGGUCAUCUUCCCAGCAUCCACUCAUUCCUCCUGCGACAGGUGCGUCAGGCGCUGGAGCAUCUGGAUCUGGUGCUGGCGCAGAGGAUGACGACGACGAGGACACAGAGUGAUGUUUUCCAGAGCUUCAUGUUUUAUCUUAGUUUUAUGUUUUCAUGUUUAGUUUAGGCUUCUACUUGUAUUUGUUGCUUUCUCUCUUAGGCCUGUAUCUAUAUUUUAACUUUGCUGUUUAUUUCUAGUGGAUUUUCUCUUUUUAUGCUUUUUGGCAAUUUUCUGACAAAAAGGGGGAGAUCACAAGAUGAACAGGUUCAUGAACAAAGGGGGAGAAGUGGUGAACAAAAGUGGAGAAAAGAAGAAAGAAGCAAUUGAACAAAGGGGGAGAAUGGAUUUCAAGACUUCAAGACUCCUAGUUGCAUCUAAGUCAUAGAGUCUGUUUUAGGAGUUUUGAAUGUAUUUUGAGUUUUAAUUUGUAUUUGGAUUACACGCGAGAGGUUCAUUAUUUUGGUGAUGACAAUCGAACUUUGUUUUUUUUAAAUGUAAUGUUUGUGUGUGUUUUGUCACGAAAUUGCCAAAGGGGGAGAUUGUUAGGUCCUAUGUGUUGGCAAGUUUCGUGGGUCGAGUCGAAGUCUUGAAGUAGUCCGAAGUGGAGUAUUGAAGAUCGAAGAAUCCAAGACUUUGAAGAAUCGGAAAGGACGCAAAACACGCAAAACUUGAAUCACGAUGCGUAGGUAAGCUUUAAAUCUUGUUUAUGGUGAUUCAUACUUAUUUAUAGAUCUUAGAAUCAUAUUUUCAAGUUGUAAUUGAUUAGAAAGUUUCUAAGAGCUUAUAAAACCCGAAACAAUGCAUUUUCAGCAAAAAUUGCAUUGUUGUACCGGUACAAGGGUUUUCUGUCCAGGGUACAGACAUCGGCUAUUGCCGCUGAGUUUUUCGUGGUUGUUCCGGUACAACCAUCAUUGCUGUACCGGUACAAGCCCUGUUCCGGAACAAGCUGAAGUCUGUUCAGGGUACAGAAGCUUCGCAGAAAAAUCUUCCGUCAUGCUGUACCCUGGACAGCUUCCCUUGUACCGGUACAAGGUGCUGAAUAUGGAAAGAAACUUUCUAAUUCUAUUCCGGUUUGAUUCUAAAGUCUAUAAAUAAGCUAUUGGGGUUCUCUAACAUAUUAAGCAUCACGAAAAUACAUGUUUGAGAAACCCUAGAGGCUCGGAUUUCAUCUAAAACCUAUUUUCUACAAAAAGCCUCUUUUAGGUCAAAUCGAGAGAUUGAAUUUUCAUAUCAAUAUGUCGAUUUGAUCUCCGCUUCGCUUGGAGUUUUCUUCCCUGGUUUUCAUCGAUACUCUAAGCGAAGGAUCACCAUACACAUGAUGUUCUUCAUGAUGGCGUCGUGGAUUCGGCGUGUUUGACGGCGGUUCGUGGAUUCGGAUCGUGGGCUCGUGGAUUCGAGUGGCGUUCGUGGAUUCGGACGUGUGCGAGGCGUUCGUGGAUUCGGACGUGAGGGCGUGGACAACCCAGAGGAUUGCGCGAGAUCCAUAGGAGGUUAAGAGAGGUUGAGUCCGUGGAGUCGGUAAUCACCUUGUAAUCUUUUCUCUUAGUGGAUUAUUUUUUCGCGUGUUGGUCCCGUGGGUUUUUCUCCAAAUUGGAGUUUUCCCACGUAAAUAUCGGUGUGAAUUUUAUUUUCCGCAUUUAUUUUUAUCGCAUUGAGAUUUGUGGUUUUUGGUUACUUUCACCUAUUCACCCCCAUCUAGGUGAUAGAUACAAUCUAGAUAGAUCCUUGGGCUCCUCAAAACUUUCAUAUAUGAACACAAUUUUUUCGAAAAAUUUAUAAAAAUAGCAAAAAAAUUCUAAUAUUCAUAGAAUGCAUACUAACGCUAUUUCAAACUAAUUCAUGCAAAAAAUUUCAUCAAAAAAUGAUAUCUCAACAAAAAUUCCGAAAUUCCAAGCAUAUUGAUAUCUAGAUCACAAAUCAGCGAAAAAUAAU
RNAcentral lists this long non-coding RNA (7321 nucleotides) under Ananas comosus (pineapple). RNAcentral describes it as "long non-coding RNA (ACOM_LNC036716)". Lineage: Eukaryota; Viridiplantae; Streptophyta; Magnoliopsida; Poales; Bromeliaceae. The record is from RNAcentral.